This 367-nucleotide long non-coding RNA is filed under the name Eucalyptus grandis. RNAcentral's name for it is "long non-coding RNA (EGRA_LNC004450)". The record is from RNAcentral. Lineage: Eukaryota; Viridiplantae; Streptophyta; Magnoliopsida; Myrtales; Myrtaceae.
GUGCCACGCCGAGCCCUGCUGCCUUGCUACCGUCGCUCCAUCGCCCGCGAGCUCGUGCUCCAGCUGCUGUCCAGAGGCCGAGAUCUGUCCACCGCCGUGCCUUGCUUGUUCUCGUUCGUCUCCGACGCCCGUGAAGCUCGUCGCGACCCACCGCUCCGCCCCACCGAGCAUCGCCCAUCGCCUAGGAGCCAAAGACCCGCGAUCCACCUGCUGUUCGGAGACGAAAACCCGAGCCAGAUCUGCCCACCGCCUGCACCGCGUCGGCUCCGAGCCUCCCCCGAAGCUGCUGCCGAUCCGAGCUUGACUGACCCGAACCCGCCGCUGCUCCGCUCGUCCGCCAACAACGACCCACAACGCCUAAGCCUGC